ACCCAGGAGUUCGAGACCAGCCUGGGCAACAUGGAUCUCACUCUGUUGCCCAGGCUGGAGAGUAAUGCCAUGAUCUUGGCUCGAUGCAGCCUUGAUCUCUACAAAGGAAUUUUACCACAGUGAUUAAAGUUCGAGAUGCACAACAGAAAGUCCACAUCAACUGAUUUCAUUACACCUGUUACAUUUCAAUACACUCCAGGGAAAUGGUAGUCAUUAAUAUUAUAUACCAAAUAUCUCUGGUUGCUAUCCCUGGGGGUGCUUUGCACUGGCCUGUACCCUUUGAAGUUAGAUGUGACCAUGUGACUUUCUUGAGCCAAUGAAACAUGAAUAAAUCUGAUGUGUAUUAUUACAGA
Molecule: long non-coding RNA, 353 nt
Filed under: Homo sapiens (human)
Lineage: Eukaryota; Metazoa; Chordata; Mammalia; Primates; Hominidae
Description: HSALNT0290101
Source: RNAcentral